RNAcentral lists this ribosomal RNA (465 nucleotides) under Vreelandella stevensii. Its description in RNAcentral is "partial 16S ribosomal RNA". It matches the Rfam family "Bacterial small subunit ribosomal RNA", at positions 338 to 795 of the family's 1533-position model. Lineage: Bacteria; Pseudomonadati; Pseudomonadota; Gammaproteobacteria; Oceanospirillales; Halomonadaceae. The record is from RNAcentral.
CCUACGGGUGGCAGCAGUGGGGAAUAUUGGACAAUGGGCGAAAGCCUGAUCCAGCCAUGCCGCGUGUGUGAAGAAGGCCUUCGGGUUGUAAAGCACUUUCAGUGGGGAAGAAAGCCUUGGGGCUAAUACCCUCGAGGAAGGACAUCACCCACAGAAGAAGCACCGGCUAACUCCGUGCCAGCAGCCGCGGUAAUACGGAGGGUGCGAGCGUUAAUCGGAAUUACUGGGCGUAAAGCGCGCGUAGGCGGUCUGAUAAGCCGGUUGUGAAAGCCCCGGGCUCAACCUGGGAACGGCAUCCGGAACUGUCAGGCUAGAGUGCAGGAGAGGAAGGUAGAAUUCCAGGUGUAGCGGUGAAAUGCGUAGAGAUCGGGAGGAAUACCAGUGGCGAAGGCGGCCUUCUGGACUGACACUGACGCUGAGGUGCGAAAGCGUGGGUAGCAAACAGGAUUAGAUACCCUGGUAGUC